Cinara cedri is the source of this 351-nucleotide non-coding RNA. NCBI's taxonomy places the organism in Eukaryota, Metazoa, Arthropoda, Insecta, Hemiptera, Aphididae. The record is from the annotation of a GenBank genome assembly.
UGCGGCAUUUUGUACAUGUGAUCAAAAUAACGUAAAAACUCAUUAUCUCAUUAUCUUAGAAAGUAUUUUAGUAUUUUUAGAUAACUUAAGAAAAACUUUGUCUAAAAUUUGGCAUUGUGGUUAUUUUUUGUCACCUUUAUUUGAAGAGGUAAAACCGCACUUUUGAUUUUUAAAUAACAAGCUAUAUUUAACAUUCCGUGAAUAUAUGGAGUAUUAGUUUAAAUACAUGUUGACAUUUUUGAUUUCGGUCAACCCGGUGACGAGAAAUUCUACUUUUAAGUUUGGGUUGGAGGAGAAUAAUGGAACAUGACUUAUGUGAUGGUAUGGCGCACGACGUUUUAAUAAUGCACU